UCUGACCAGCCAUGCCGCGUGGAGGAUGAAGGUCCUCUGGAUUGUAAACUUCUUUUAUCUGGGAAGAAACCACUUUUUUCUAAGGGUGUUGACGGUACCAGAGGAAUAAGCACCGGCUAACUCCGUGCCAGCAGCCGCGGUAAUACGGAGGGUGCAAGCGUUAUCCGGAUUCACUGGGUUUAAAGGGUGCGUAGGCGGAUUUGUAAGUCCGCGGUGAAAUCUCCAAGCUUAACUUGGAAACUGCCGUGGAUACUAUAAGUCUUGAAUGUUGUGGAGGUUAGCGGAAUAUGUCAUGUAGCGGUGAAAUGCAUAGAUAUGACAUAGAACACCAAUUGCGAAGGCAGCUGGCUACACAAAUAUUGACGCUGAGGCACGAAAGCGUGGGGAUCAAACAGGAUUAGAUACCCUGGUAGUCCACGCCCUAAACGAUGAUUACUCGACAUUUGCGAUACACAGCAAGUGUCUGAGCGAAAGCAUUAAGUAAUCCACCU
Molecule: ribosomal RNA, 491 nt
Filed under: uncultured Chitinophaga sp.
Lineage: Bacteria; Pseudomonadati; Bacteroidota; Chitinophagia; Chitinophagales; Chitinophagaceae
Description: bacterial SSU rRNA
Rfam family: Bacterial small subunit ribosomal RNA
Source: RNAcentral